UACACAGUAGCUUAAUUAAGGCGCCUGCCUAUCAAGCAGGAGAAUGAAGGUCCCAAUCCUUCCUGUGUAU
This 70-nucleotide transfer RNA is filed under the name Paenibacillus sp. Leaf72. It matches the Rfam family "tRNA". From Rfam's summary of the family: Transfer RNA (tRNA) molecules are approximately 80 nucleotides in length. Their secondary structure includes four short double-helical elements and three loops (D, anti-codon, and T loops). Lineage: Bacteria; Bacillati; Bacillota; Bacilli; Caryophanales; Paenibacillaceae. The record is from Rfam by way of RNAcentral.